This 377-nucleotide ribosomal RNA is filed under the name uncultured bacterium. RNAcentral's name for it is "bacterial SSU rRNA". It matches the Rfam family "Bacterial small subunit ribosomal RNA", at positions 523 to 898 of the family's 1533-position model. The record is from RNAcentral.
AUACGUAGGGGGCAAGCGUUGUCCGGAUUUAUUGGGCGUAAAGGGCGCGCAGGCGGCCUUUUAAGUCAGUUGUGAAAGGUCUCGGCUCAACCGAGGAGUUGCAGCUGAAACUGGAAGGCUUGAGUGCAGGAGAGGAGAGCGGAAUUCUCGGUGUAGCGGUGGAAUGCGUAGAGAUCGGGAGGAACACCAGUGGCGAAGGCGGCUCUCUGGUCUGUAACUGACGCUGAGGCGCGAAAGCGUGGGGAGCAAACAGGAUUAGAUACCCUGGUAGUCCACGCCGUAAACGAUGAGUGCUAGGUGUUGGGGGCUUUUAUGCCCUCAGUGCCGAAGGAAACCCAAUAAGCACUCCGCCUGGGGAGUACGGCCGCAAGGCUGAA